RNAcentral lists this transfer RNA (437 nucleotides) under uncultured Flavobacteriaceae bacterium. RNAcentral's name for it is "16S-23S ribosomal RNA intergenic spacer". The stretch from base 83 to 156 matches the Rfam family "tRNA". Lineage: Bacteria; Pseudomonadati; Bacteroidota; Flavobacteriia; Flavobacteriales; Flavobacteriaceae. The record is from RNAcentral.
AGAGAAAGACGACUAAAGUUUCUUAAACUAUCCAAUCAAAAUGAGUUUAUUCUCAUCGCUGUUAAUUAUAAUAAAUAAGUGGAGUCUCAUAGCUCAGCUGGUUAGAGCGCUACACUGAUAAUGUAGAGGUCGGCAGUUCAAGUCUGCCUGAGACUACUACGCUUAGUUUUAUUACUAAAUAAAAUGAGGAUUUUAGUUGCUGAGUUUUAUGAAUCUAAGAACUCAUUUCAUGGGGGAUUAGCUCAGCUGGCUAGAGCGCUAGAUUUGCAUUCUAGAGGUCGUGGGUUCGACUCCCACAUUCUCCACAAUCAGCAAUUUGCUGAAAAUGUUCUUUGACAUAUUGAAAAAAAUACAUGAAAUUAGAAAAUUUCUAAAAAGUAAAUUUAAAUUAAGUUUACGAGCAAAUAAUUUAUAACUCAUAAAAAUACAAAAGUUAC